AGAAGACCAUAAGUUCAAAUUGGCAACAUUUGGAUGAAAUAGGGGGAGACUUCACUCUCAUAUUUGAAAAGCUGAAAUUCAGCAACUUGAGCCCUUCUAAAAUUAAUUUUAAGAUAAGAAUCCAUUUGAUCAUACUCAAUAUUUUGUAAUCAUCAAAAAGGGAGAGAUUAAGGAUGAUAGUGGUAUUUUGAUGAUUAAUACAAUGAUUAAUAAUGAGAUAAAAUUUGCGAUAGGAAAGGGAUAGUGAAUUCUAAAUUCCAAUUCGGCAAAGUUUCAAGUGAAACAUACUCUUAAGUGGACAAUAGUAAUUUUCAUUGUUUAGAGUAUGUAGCACCACCAUGACAUAUAUUCAAAAUUGUUUAAAGUUUAUUUCAUUGAUUAUAUGGAUAAAUCUAACCUUAAGUUGCAACAAAGUAUGGAUUGAGUCGACCCCAAGCUUGAUUGAGUCGACCCCGGCACAUCAAGAAAACAUCUGGCACACUUCUGCAAAAAUGGCAUGGAUGAACAGUACUUGGGUCGACCCAAGUGAAAGUUGAGUCGACCCCAUCUUCAAGCUUCAAGAAAACAAGUCUCUGGAAUCCCUGAGAGGGUCGACCCAAAUGGAACUUGAGUCGACCC
RNAcentral lists this long non-coding RNA (618 nucleotides) under Phoenix dactylifera (date palm). RNAcentral describes it as "long non-coding RNA (PDAC_LNC008263)". The record is from RNAcentral. Lineage: Eukaryota; Viridiplantae; Streptophyta; Magnoliopsida; Arecales; Arecaceae.